RNAcentral lists this ribosomal RNA (490 nucleotides) under uncultured bacterium. RNAcentral's name for it is "partial 16S ribosomal RNA". It matches the Rfam family "Bacterial small subunit ribosomal RNA", at positions 30 to 507 of the family's 1533-position model. The record is from RNAcentral.
AUUGAACGCUGGCGGCAGGCCUAACACAUGCAAGUCGAACGGUAACAGGGAUCAGCUUGCUGAUUCGCUGACGAGUGGCGGACGGGUGAGUAAUGUCUGGGAAACUGCCUGAUGGAGGGGGAUAACUACUGGAAACGGUAGCUAAUACCGCAUAACGUCGCAAGACCAAAGAGGGGGACCUUCGGGCCCCUUGCCAUCGGAUGUGCCCAGAUGGGAUUUGCUGGUAGGUGGGGUAACGUCUCACCUAGGCGACGAUUCCUAGUUGGUAUGGGAGGAUGACCAGCCACACGGGAACUGAGACACGGUCCAGACUCCUGCGGGAGGCAGCAGUGGGGAAUAUUGCACAAUGGGCGCAAGCCUGAUGCAGCCAUGCCGCGUGUAUGAAGAAGGCCUUCGGGUUGUAAAGUACUUUCAGCGGGGAGGAAGGGAGUAAAGUUAAUACCUUGGCUCAUUGACGUUACCCGCAGAAGAAGCACCGGCUAACUCCGUG